RNAcentral lists this ribosomal RNA (494 nucleotides) under uncultured bacterium. Its description in RNAcentral is "partial 16S ribosomal RNA". It matches the Rfam family "Bacterial small subunit ribosomal RNA", at positions 28 to 507 of the family's 1533-position model. The record is from RNAcentral.
GACGAACGCUGGCGGCGUGCUUAACACAUGCAAGUCGAACGGUCAAGCGCCUUCCUUUUUGGUGUGUGUGGAUGAGUGGCGAACGGGUGAGUAACACGUGAGUAACCUGCCCCCUUUUUCUGGAUAACCGCAUGACAGUGUGGCUAAUACGGGAUAUUCUGGGUCUGUCGCUUGAUGGGUCUGGGACAGAUAUUGUUUCGGUUGGGGAUGGGCUCGCGGCCUAUCAGCUUGUUGGUGGGGUGAUGGCCUACCAAGGCGAUGACGAGUAGCCGGCCUGAGAGGGUGGACGAUCAUGGAGGGGAUAAGAGGUGGAGAAGACUACGGCAGGAAGCAGCAGUGAAGAAUACUGCACGGGGGGAAGAAGGAUGAAGCAACGACGCGGGGGGAGGGAAGGAGGUCGUAGGGUAGUGAACCUCUUUUGGGAGAGAAGAAAGGUGGACGUGUUUGUGGGUGGGUUGACGGUAGCUGGAUAAGAAGCGACGGCUAACUACGUG